UAUCCGGAAUUAUUGGGCGUAAAGGGCUCGUAGGCGGUUCGUCGCGUCCGGUGUGAAAGUCCAUCGCUUAACGGUGGAUCCGCGCCGGGUACGGGCGGGCUUGAGUGCGGUAGGGGAGACUGGAAUUCCCGGUGUAACGGUGGAAUGUGUAGAUAUCGGGAAGAACACCAAUGGCGAAGGCAGGUCUCUGGGCCGUCACUGACGCUGAGGAGCGAAAGCGUGGGGAGCGAACAGGAUUAGAUACCCUGGUAGUCCACGCCGUAAACGGUGGAUGCUGGAUGUGGGGACCAUUCCACGGUCUCCGUGUCGGAGCCCACGCGUUAAGCAUCCCGCCUGGGGAGUACGGCCGCAAGGCUAAAACUCAAGAAAUUGACGGGGGCCCGCACA
This 387-nucleotide ribosomal RNA is filed under the name uncultured bacterium. RNAcentral describes it as "bacterial SSU rRNA". It matches the Rfam family "Bacterial small subunit ribosomal RNA", at positions 542 to 927 of the family's 1533-position model. The record is from RNAcentral.